UACGUAGGGGGCAAGCGUUGUCCGGAUUUAUUGGGCGUAAAGAGCGUGUAGGCGGCCACACAGGUCUGCUGUGAAAGCCCCGGGCUCAACCUGGGAAUGGCAGUGGAUACUGGCAAGCUAGAGUGCGGUAGAGGGGUGUGGAAUUCCCGGUGUAGCGGUGAAAUGCGUAGAGAUCGGGAGGAACACCAGUGGCGAAGGCGGCACCCUGGACCAGCACUGACGCUGAGGCACGAAGGUCAGGGGAGCAAACGGG
Molecule: ribosomal RNA, 253 nt
Filed under: uncultured bacterium
Lineage: Bacteria
Description: partial 16S ribosomal RNA
Rfam family: Bacterial small subunit ribosomal RNA
Source: RNAcentral